GGUUUCCGUAGGUGAACCUGCGGAAGGAUCAUUACUGAGAGGUUAAAAACCACUAGUGGGAAAUCUUUCCCUCUAGUUCCUCACAGUUUUGUGCAAAGUCGGGUCAACCUAGUUGGCUCUGCCUUGUGCCUUGGAUCUGGAGUUGUAGGACAUAGAGACCCUCCUUUUAGGAGACUUAUGGCCUACUAAAGGAUCUAGGCUGCUUAAGACAUAUGAGACGUAUGGACCCUUCUUUCAGGAGACCUAUGUCUUGAGUCAAAGCAAGCAAGGCAAGCCUUUGGGGCUCUAGUGGUCUUUAGUACUUACUAUCCCCAAGGGUGUUUAUUCUUCUCGUGUAAACCAUGAUGUACGAAGAAAGUUAGUUGUUAACUUGAAAACAACUCUUGGCAAUGGAUCUCUUGGUUCUCGCAUCGAUGAAGAGCGUAGCAAAGUGCGAUAAUUAUUGCGACUUGCAUUCAUAGCGAAUCAUCGAGUUCUCGAACGCAUCUUGCGCCUAGUAGUCAAUCUACUAGGCACAGUUGUUUCAGUAUCUGCAACUACCAAUCAGUUCAACUUGGUUCUUUGAACCUGAACGAACUGGAAAUGGGCUUGUGUUGAUGGCAUUCAGUUGCUGUCAUGGCCUUAAAUACAUUUAGUCCUUGGCAUUGGCUUUAGUCCUCUGCCGGAUGUAGACUCUAGAGUGCCUGAGGAGCAACGGCU
RNAcentral lists this unclassified non-coding RNA (699 nucleotides) under Lichtheimia ramosa. RNAcentral's name for it is "sequence contains 18S rRNA gene, ITS1, 5.8S rRNA gene, ITS2". The stretch from base 379 to 532 matches the Rfam family "5.8S ribosomal RNA". Lineage: Eukaryota; Fungi; Mucoromycota; Mucoromycetes; Mucorales; Lichtheimiaceae. The record is from RNAcentral.